AAAGUUUGCUCACUCUGUGAGUUGGCUUUCCAUCACUAUAACAAGAGCCUGAGAUAAUCAGCUUAUAAAGAAAGGGUUCAUUUUGGCUCACAGUUUCAGAGGUUUGAGUCCAUGGUCAUUUGACCCCACUGUUUUGGGCCUGUGAUGGCAGCAAUCAUGGCAGAGCAAAACCCAUCACUUUAUGCCUGGUGCAAAAGACAGAAACAGGAAGGGCUCGGCCCCACAAUCAGUUCAUAGGGCAAAUGCCAGUAACCUUGCAGACCUCCCACUAGACCCCACCCCUUAAAGGGUCUUCUACCUCCCAGUAGCACUAAGCUGGGGACUAACAUGGGCCCUUGAGGGGGCAGCCUAGAUCCAAACUGAAGUCUGACUCAAGGAAGGAAUCAGGCAGCAGUAUCCUCUUAAUUCAGGAAUUUAGUUACCACUCAUGGGCAAGAGAAGUGACCACACUUCAAUGUCAAAGUGUUUACACACCAGAAUUUCACUUGAGGAAAGAUGAAUUUUCUACCAAACCAUGAAAGCUGCCUGUCCCAGUUUGUUUAGAAUAUGCUAUUCCAGGGAGCUCAUCAUUUGUUCAGAGUUGUCUGCAGCCACAGUGAGUCAUAUUCCAUGAAGGACUUGAGUAGUUUCCUGUAGCACUGUGUACACCAUGGAAGAGAAGAGCAUCAAGUGCUUUCUCUUAGUGAUGUGGGGAUGGGUGAGAUGGCAAAGGAGAAGAAUCAAGUCAUUUCAAGGAUGGCCAAGAAGGCAGGCAGCCCUGUAUAAUUGCAGAAAACAGAAGAAACUGGAUUGGGAACUUGAUAAAAGGCUUGUCAAAGAAAUACAUUCUGUUUAAAUCUUGGUAGCAAGAAAUGCUUGUGUUCCAUAGCUGUGCCCUGUGGUUCUCCAUUUUAAAGGGAUGUUCUCAAAAUAUUUUACACUCUCUCUAGGGACAUCACAGUAAAGGACAAGUGUGGAUUUGCACCCACGCCCUUUGCACACCUCCCCUAAGCUGCUCACGGUAGCCAGUGCUUUACAGCUCAGGGGCCAGAUGCCAACCAUGCUGCUUGGGCCUUGAGGCCAGUGUUGGGCUUGCCAACCCCUGUCACCCUCACCCGUGCAGUCUUGAGGAGCAGGUAUUUACAUUUUACACUCAGGCCUAUAUAAGGUCACUUUCUUUGUAAGGAGCAUGUAUCACUUAGCAAGAAAGUUAGAAAGGCAAAUGUGUUUUCUAAGCUUUAAAAAUAAAAUCAGCUUUAGAAUUCUGUGCGGUAAUGUGCAAUGCAGCAAAAUUACCUUUGGUAAAUUAUUUAUUUAUUUCAUUGUUUUGUUUUUCAUGAUGUUGAGUUUUCCUUUCAAUAAUGAAUCAUGUGAGCGACCUAGAACUUUGUCCUGUUACUGAAUUAUAUUUUGCAGGUACAAAUUAAGAAAACUAAGGGAACAUCUGGGUGUGUACAUGUUUUUUGUUUCACUAAUUUUUUUAUUCAAAGUAAGAAUAAUGAUCACUUUCCACAUUUGGCAGUAUCGUGUUGCACACUUGCACAAGGGUGUUGAAACUCAAUAAAAUUAAGGUUCAUGCAAUGGCCCUUAGACUCAGUGCUUCCUUGUGAUUUGAACAGAUUUCUGUCCUUUGAAUCUUCCUGUAAGAAUGAUUAGUUGAAUUUGAGUCUAAAUUCAGUAAAAUAAAUUGAGUCUGAGUACAAAG
Long non-coding RNA from Heterocephalus glaber (naked mole-rat), 1684 nucleotides. The record is from Ensembl. NCBI's taxonomy places the organism in Eukaryota, Metazoa, Chordata, Mammalia, Rodentia, Bathyergidae.